This 270-nucleotide ribosomal RNA is filed under the name uncultured bacterium. RNAcentral's name for it is "partial 16S ribosomal RNA". It matches the Rfam family "Bacterial small subunit ribosomal RNA", at positions 91 to 354 of the family's 1533-position model. The record is from RNAcentral.
UUGAGUGGCGAACGGGUGAGUAACACGUGGGCAACCUGCCCAAAAGAAGGGGGAUAACACUUGGAAACAGGUGCUAAUACCGCAUAACCAUAGUUACCGCAUGGUAACUAUGUAAAAGGUGGCUAUACUACCGCUUUUGGAUGGGCCCGCGGCGCAUUAGCUAGUUGGUAGGGUAAAGGCUUACCAAGGCAAUGAUGCGUAGCCGAAUUGAGAGGUUGAUCGGCCACAUUGGGACUGAGACACGACCCAAACUCCUACGGGAGGCAGCAG